CCUACGGGAGGCAGCAGUGGGGAAUAUUGGUCAAUGGGGGAAAGCCUGAACCAGCGAAGUCGCGUGAGUGAAGAAGGAUCUAGGUAUGGAAAGCUUCUUUAGUAGGAAAGAAAAUGACGGUACGUAACUCAGAAGUAAUGGAUAACGAGGUGCCAGCAGCCGCGGUAAUACGGAGGGGGCAAGCGUUAUCCGGAUUUAUUGGGUGUAAAGGGAGCGUAGUCGGCAGCGCAAGUCUGGAGGGAAAGGUCGGGGCCCAACCCAAGAACUGCACUUGAAACUGUGAGGCUUGAGUGCAGGAGAGGUAAGCGGAAUUCGUGGUGUAGCGGUGAAAUGCGUAGAUAUCAGGAAGAACACC
RNAcentral lists this ribosomal RNA (355 nucleotides) under uncultured bacterium. Its description in RNAcentral is "partial 16S ribosomal RNA". It matches the Rfam family "Bacterial small subunit ribosomal RNA", at positions 338 to 710 of the family's 1533-position model. The record is from RNAcentral.